GAUGAACGCUGGCGGCGUGCCUAAUACAUGCAAGUCGAGCGAACAGACGAGGAGCUUGCUCCUCUGACGUUAGCGGCGGACGGGUGAGUAACACGUGGAUAACCUACCUAUAAGACUGGGAUAACUUCGGGAAACCGGAGCUAAUACCGGAUAAUAUAUUGAACCGCAUGGUUCAAUAGUGAAAGACGGUUUUGCUGUCACUUAUAGAUGGAUCCGCGCCGCAUUAGCUAGUUGGUAAGGUAACGGCUUACCAAGGCAACGAUGCGUAGCCGACCUGAGAGGGUGAUCGGCCACACUGGACCUGAGACACGGUCCAGACUCCUACGGGAGGCAGCAUUAGGGAACCUCGCGCAAUGGGCGAAAGCCUGACGGAGCAACGCCGCGUGAGUGAGGAAGGUUUUCGGAUCGUAAAACUCUGUGAUUAGGGAAGAACAAAUGUGUAAGUAACUAUGCACGUCUUGACGGUACCUAAUCAGAAAGCCACGGCUAACUACGUG
Molecule: ribosomal RNA, 497 nt
Filed under: uncultured bacterium
Lineage: Bacteria
Description: partial 16S ribosomal RNA
Rfam family: Bacterial small subunit ribosomal RNA
Source: RNAcentral